RNAcentral lists this ribosomal RNA (393 nucleotides) under uncultured bacterium. Its description in RNAcentral is "partial 16S ribosomal RNA". It matches the Rfam family "Bacterial small subunit ribosomal RNA", at positions 523 to 918 of the family's 1533-position model. The record is from RNAcentral.
AUACGGAGGAUCCGAGCGUUAUCCGGAUUUAUUGGGUUUAAAGGGAGCGUAGGCGGACGCUUAAGUCAGUUGUGAAAGUUUGCGGCUCAACCGUAAAAUUGCAGUUGAUACUGGGUGUCUUGAGUACAGUAGAGGCAGGCGGAAUUCGUGGUGUAGCGGUGAAAUGCUUAGAUAUCACGAAGAACUCCGAUUGCGAAGGCUGCUUGCUGUACUGUAACUGACGCUGAUGCUCGAAAGUGUGGAUAUCAAACAGGAUUAGAUACCCUGGUAGGCCACACAGUAAACGAUGAAUACUCGCUUUAUGCGACAUCCAGUAAGCGGCUAAGCGAAAACGUUUAGUAUUCAACCUGGGGACCAAGCUGGCACCGGUGAAACUCACAUGAAUUGACGGUG